AUUGCGUCACCUCUCUUCGGGGUGGAGGGGGGGAAUCUCUGCUUAUAGGAGUGUAUUUUGUGAGGAAGAAAACCCAUAAAAUAUCCACGACCUUGCAGCUGUUAAGAAUCCAGACUUUUCAGUCCCAGGGCGGGGCUGCCUUUCCCCCCAUCCCGCUCCCUUUCUUUGGACUAAAGGGAAAGCCUUCCUUUCCUGGGGAUGGGACGCCCGUUUCCACUGAAAGUGAAAUCACUGUGAACAACCUGAAAAUUGGAAAGUUGGACCAGCUGUGGGGAGAGAAAGGUCUUCGUGUCCUUUCCCACGUUCACCGUGCCAGUUACACACAAAGCAGAGAUUUUUUUGCUUGAAUCAUUAAAAGCCGGGUGGGUGGGGGGCACC
RNAcentral lists this long non-coding RNA (378 nucleotides) under Homo sapiens (human). Its description in RNAcentral is "HSALNT0308759". The record is from RNAcentral. Lineage: Eukaryota; Metazoa; Chordata; Mammalia; Primates; Hominidae.